RNAcentral lists this ribosomal RNA (145 nucleotides) under Stenotrophomonas indicatrix. Its description in RNAcentral is "16S rRNA. Bacterial SSU". It matches the Rfam family "Bacterial small subunit ribosomal RNA", at positions 1 to 137 of the family's 1533-position model. The record is from RNAcentral. Lineage: Bacteria; Pseudomonadati; Pseudomonadota; Gammaproteobacteria; Lysobacterales; Lysobacteraceae.
UUUAAGUGAAGAGUUUGAUCCUGGCUCAGAGUGAACGCUGGCGGUAGGCCUAACACAUGCAAGUCGAACGGCAGCACAGAGGAGCUUGCUCCUUGGGUGGCGAGUGGCGGACGGGUGAGGAAUACAUCGGAAUCUACUUUUUCGU